RNAcentral lists this small nuclear RNA (179 nucleotides) under Zea mays. Its description in RNAcentral is "U2 spliceosomal RNA". It matches the Rfam family "U2 spliceosomal RNA". From Rfam's summary of the family: U2 is a small nuclear RNA (snRNA) component of the spliceosome (involved in pre-mRNA splicing). Complementary binding between U2 snRNA (in an area lying towards the 5' end but 3' to hairpin I) and the branchpoint sequence (BPS) of the intron results the bulging out of an unpaired adenosine, on the BPS, which initiates a nucleophilic attack at the intronic 5' splice site, thus starting the first of two transesterification reactions that mediate splicing. Lineage: Eukaryota; Viridiplantae; Streptophyta; Magnoliopsida; Poales; Poaceae. The record is from Rfam by way of RNAcentral.
ACAAUUUUCUCGGCCUUUUGGCUAAGGUAAAAUAUAAUAUUUGUUUUUAUCAAUUGAAUAUUUGGUAUGUGAACCAUAUGUUCAAUUUAAUAUUAAAUUUAUUUUUUAUGAGUAUCUUUUGUGGGAAUGAUCUACCACGCUGGUCUAUUGAGUCCGUUGCAUCGCACGGUCAAUUAUAC